ACUAAAUAGAUACCCUGGUAGUCCACGCCCUAAACGAUGUCUACUAGUUGUUGGUGGAGUAAAAUCCAUGAGUAAACGCAGCUAAACGCGUGAAGUAGACCGCCUGGGGAGUACGGUCGCAAGAUUAAAACUCAAAGGAAUUGACGGGGGCCCGGCACAAGCGGUGGAUUAUGUGGAUUAAAUUCGAUGCAACGCGAAAAACCUUACCUGGCCUUGACAUGCCACUAACGAAGCAGAGAUGCAUUAGGUGCCCGUAAGGGAAAGUGGACACAGGUGCUGCAUGGCUGUCGUCAGCUCGUGUCGUGAGAUGUUGGGUUAAGUCCCGCAACGAGCGCAACCC
RNAcentral lists this ribosomal RNA (340 nucleotides) under uncultured bacterium. RNAcentral's name for it is "bacterial SSU rRNA". It matches the Rfam family "Bacterial small subunit ribosomal RNA", at positions 772 to 1104 of the family's 1533-position model. The record is from RNAcentral.